Molecule: ribosomal RNA, 784 nt
Filed under: Ancyla asiatica
Lineage: Eukaryota; Metazoa; Arthropoda; Insecta; Hymenoptera; Apidae
Description: SSU rRNA
Rfam family: Eukaryotic small subunit ribosomal RNA
Source: RNAcentral
CGGGGAGGUAGUGACGAAAAAUAACGAUACGGGACUCAUCCGAGGCCCCGUAAUCGGAAUGAGUACACUUUAAAUCCUUUAACAAGGACCAAUUGGAGGGCAAGUCUGGUGCCAGCAGCCGCGGUAAUUCCAGCUCCAAUAGCGUAUAUUAAAGUUGUUGCGGUUAAAAAGCUCGUAGUUGAAUCUGUGUGUCACAGUGUCGGUUCACCGCUCGCGGUGUCUAACUGGCAUUAUGUGGUACGUCCUACCGGUGGGCUUAGCUCCUUGCGGGCGGUCCAACUAAUCUCCCAUCGCGGUGCUCUUCACUGAGUGUCGAGGUGGGCCGGUACGUUUACUUUGAACAAAUUAGAGUGCUCAAAGCAGGCUAUCUUCGCCUGAAUACUGCGUGCAUGGAAUAAUGGAAUAGGACCUCGGUUCUAUUUUGUUGGUUUUCGGAACCCCGAGGUAAUGAUUAAUAGGGACAGAUGGGGGCAUUCGUAUUGCGACGUUAGAGGUGAAAUUCUUGGAUCGUCGCAAGACGGACUAAAGCGAAAGCAUUUGCCAAAAAUGUUUUCAUUAAUCAAGAACGAAAGUUAGAGGUUCGAAGGCGAUCAGAUACCGCCCUAGUUCUAACCAUAAACGAUGCCAGCUGGCGAUCCGCCGAAGUUCCUCCGAUGACUCGGCGGGCAGCUUCCGGGAAACCAAAGCUUUUGGGUUCCGGGGGAAGUAUGGUUGCAAAGCUGAAACUUAAAGGAAUUGACGGAAGGGCACCACCAGGAGUGGAGCCUGCGGCUUAAUUUGACUC